RNAcentral lists this unclassified non-coding RNA (315 nucleotides) under plant metagenome. Its description in RNAcentral is "partial contains 5.8S ribosomal RNA, internal transcribed spacer 2, and large subunit ribosomal RNA". The stretch from base 1 to 106 matches the Rfam family "5.8S ribosomal RNA", at positions 49 to 154 of the family's 154-position model. The record is from RNAcentral.
CGAAAUGCGAUAAUUAAUGUGAAUUGCAGAAUUCAGUGAAUCAUCGAGUCUUUGAACGCACAUUGCGCCCCCUGGUAUUCCGGGGGGCAUGCCUGUCCGAGCGUCAUUGCUGCCCUCAAGCACGGCUUGGGUGUUGGGCUUCCGUCCCUGGCAACGGGGACGGGCCCAAAAGGCAGUGGCGGCACCAUGUCUGGUCCUCGAGCGUAUGGGGCUUUGUCACCCGCUCCCGUAGGUCCAGCUGGCAGCUAGCCUCGCAACCAAUCUUUUUAACCAGGUUGACCUCGGAUCAGGUAGGGAUACCCGCUGAACUUAAGC